GAUGAAGAACGUAGCGAAAUGCGAUAAGUAAUGUGAAUUGCAGAAUUCAGUGAAUCAUCGAGUUUUUGAACGCAUAUUGCGCCCUCUGGUAUUCCGGGGGGCAUGCCUGUUCGAGCGUCAUUAAAUAACCCUCAAGCAUAGCUUGGUGUUGGGCUUUUUUACGUCCUUGACUGGGAUGGGCCUAAAAAUUAGUGGCGAUGGCUUUUUUACUUUCAAGCGUAGUAAAUCUCGUCUUGCUAAAGAGGAAAAAGAUUUUUUUUCUGCCAAAAAUUUUAACAUUUAAAGUUGACCUCGGAUCUGGUAGGAUUACCCGCUGAACUUAAGCAUAUCAAUAAGCGGAGGA
Molecule: unclassified non-coding RNA, 343 nt
Filed under: soil metagenome
Description: partial contains 5.8S ribosomal RNA, internal transcribed spacer 2, and large subunit ribosomal RNA
Rfam family: 5.8S ribosomal RNA (bases 1-120)
Source: RNAcentral